Molecule: ribosomal RNA, 468 nt
Filed under: uncultured bacterium
Lineage: Bacteria
Description: partial 16S ribosomal RNA
Rfam family: Bacterial small subunit ribosomal RNA
Source: RNAcentral
GACGAACGCUGGCGGCGUGCUUAACACAUGCAAGUCGAACGGAAAGGCCCUGCUUUUGCGGGGUGCUCGAGUGGCGAACGGGUGAGUAACACGUGUGUAACCUGCCCUUGACUUUGGGAUAACUUCUGGAAACUGCGGCUAAUACCCGAUAGGAUCUACUGCUGCAUGGUGGGGGUUGGAAAGUUUCGGCGGUUGGGGAUGGACUCGCGGCUUAUCAGCUUGUUGGUGGGGUAGGUGCUUACCAAGGAUUUGACGGGUAGCCGGCCUGAGAGGGUGACCGGCCACAUUGGGACUGAGAUACGGCCCAGACUCCUACGGGAGGCAGCAGUGGGGAAUAUUGCACAAUGGGCGGAAGCCUGAUGCAGCAACGCCGCGUGCGGGAUGACGGCCUUCGGGUUGUAAACCGCUUUCGCCUGUGACGAAGCGUGAGUGACGGUAAUGGGUAAAGAAGCACCGGCUAACUACGUG